Long non-coding RNA from Mesocricetus auratus (golden hamster), 1434 nucleotides. RefSeq lists it as uncharacterized. The record is from RefSeq and is a predicted model, not a curated record. The transcript has 2 exons. Lineage: Eukaryota; Metazoa; Chordata; Mammalia; Rodentia; Cricetidae.
CUGGGGAUGUAGCUGGGUUGGUGUAGUGUUUGCCUGGUAUACAUGAAGUCUUGGGGUCAAUACACAGCACUGCAUAAAAGUGGCAUGGGCCACGUACAGCUGUGAUCUCAGCAUUUAGGAAGUGGAGGCGAGAACCGGAAGUUCAAAGUUAUCCUUGACUACACAGUUCUUACUGUUGUCUCAGAAAAUAGCAGAAUGGAAGCAGGCAGGAGAAAGACUAAUGCUGCUGCAUCUGUUGGCCCCAAGCAGAGGAGCCUGGUGUCAGCCACAAAGCCGUGGAUUGGUUUUCAGAAGAGUGGGAGCCAAAGCACGCUCCUGGGUGGCAGAUGACGUAAUGGAGAGAUGUUUCAGGAAGGCUGGACUAGAAGGAUCUAAGAAAUAGGCUGGCAGGAGGGACCUUGUGACUAUAGUAAUGAGGACAGAUUUGGAGGAAGGAGGUAGUCAGGUAAGGGCAAAAAGAAUGCUCUUUUAGAAACAUUCAGAGAUAAAGAAUGGGGAAUUGGUGGCUGGUAAAAAAUGGGAAGAAGAGGGACCAAGAUGUUACCUAGGACUCCAAGGUGCCUCGCUUUGGUGAGGGGCAGUGACAAUGUCAGACAUUUGCCCAGUGGGGAGCUCAGGGAGUGGUACGAAGACAGGGCUGCUGAGGACUGAACAUGUCUUUCCAUGUUGCUCAAAGUCAUCCUAACAAAGACACAGACCCAGGUCUUAGCAGGUCCCAGGCCUGUAAUCUCCAGGAAGAAGCACUGGGCUGUGAGUCAGGCCCAGGUGGAAGAGACUCGUCACACAGUCCAGCACCUGAGUGGCAUCGCCGUGAACUCCUGACCCUAGUGUUAGCUGACUUUAAGGAUGCCCAUUGCUCUGAGGGAAAGGAGCCAAGAGGAAGAGGACCUGGAAGCUGGUGUGGUCCCUGUGUGCAGCAGGGACAGGUGACACGACCCUGGCUCUGCUCCUAAUAAAACACUCCGAGGACACCUGAGAGCUAGCGGUAGGGUGGAACUUUUUAUUUGAAGCAAGUAAUAGCAUGGCCCCCAGGUACCCCAGGGCAUCGGGCCACAAGAAAUCCUCUCAAUCUGGCCAUUUCCUGCUUCUGGGCUGCUGUUCCCAGUGGACAGCAGAGGGCAGCAGAAGCCUGGUUCCCAGGUUCUUCCUGUCACCCACAUCCAGCCUCCACCGAGCCAGGCUUCCAGGGGCAUCCCCACGGGAUGGAGAGGUGCCAGGGACCCCAACACGUUCCUGACACUCACACAAGUGCCUCAGGUGCUUUCGGGCAUCUUGCGUUGGCCAGAUUUUAUGUCCACCCAAGGAGCAGUCUCAGUUCAGGGACCACAUCCCAAAGAGAGAGGAGACAGCCCAGUCUUGAAAAAGCAAUAGCUACCCCGAGAGAGCUUUUCCACCUUUGUCCAGGUGGGCUGCGACUGAGUCGUGGAAGGAAAC